RNAcentral lists this unclassified non-coding RNA (714 nucleotides) under Zea mays. RNAcentral's name for it is "misc RNA Zm00001eb301670". Lineage: Eukaryota; Viridiplantae; Streptophyta; Magnoliopsida; Poales; Poaceae. The record is from RNAcentral.
CUGCCCUCGAGUGGCCGCAGCAGCCCGCGCGCAGCAGAACACGGCAAAAAAAACCCUAGCCGCCGCAGCAGCCCCCGCGCGCUCGCGGCAAAAAAGCCUAGCCGCCGCAGCAGCCCGCGCGCGCUCCCUUCACGCCGCCACAGCUCGUCACCGCUCGCGCUCGUCCCCGAGGCGGUCCUCUUCACGGUGGAGAAGGCGCUUCACACCGCACGUCACAGCCUCAUGCUUGCUUUGCCUUGGAUUCCUUUCCGUGUUUUUUCCUUCUCCAUCCUUCGCUCAUCACAUCAGACCAGGAAGUCAGAAGACACCGACCAGAAGCAAAGCAGCAGCGCUCGCCCCUUCUUCUCCGCCGCUGGUCGCAAGAUGGAGAACCACCGCAACUUCAGGGACUUCUUAUCCCAAGGUUGCUCUUCAUCGACGUCCAGGAGCCGCACUGGUCAUGAAGCUCCCGAGGACGACGACUUUGGCACCUUCUCGCAGUCGCCGUUUGCUCUGCCACCACGCAUCAAUGUCCCAGCACCUCGCAGCCACAUUGAAGCUCUUGAUCUGAACUCCCAGUCCCAGGGUUUGCCUCCUCUUGGUCGUGGUAGAUCAGCGCGCACACUAUGUCAAUCCACGAGAUCCAUUUCAGCUCCUAUUUCUCAUGCCCGAGGUGCAAUUCGAGGUUGCCGUGGAGUUAGGGGGAGAGGCACUAGUAGUCGUGGUGGAGGUUGA